RNAcentral lists this long non-coding RNA (5796 nucleotides) under Daphnia magna. RNAcentral's name for it is "uncharacterized LOC116929034, transcript variant X2". Lineage: Eukaryota; Metazoa; Arthropoda; Branchiopoda; Diplostraca; Daphniidae. The record is from RNAcentral.
UAUCCCUUUUCACGCGACGUACGUCCAGCCUGGCUAUUAUCGACGUCUAAAACUCCGUUGCUACCUACGUUUUAGGUAUCUGUUCACUUUCGCAUCUGGGCAGGCAAGUUAUACAAGUUUCCGACUUUUUUGGAAGGCCAUUCACGUCGACAAGCUUCAAAUAAAUGUCAAGUUGCUCUUCCCUGAACGCCUUGCACGCCUUGGAAAACGGAAAGGCAGAACAAGGAAAAUGAUACAAAAAAAACACGUCCCUUCAUCCAGAGGACGAGUACGUUCCUUGAACCACGUUGUAUGAAUAGUCAAUCGGGAACCUCUUACCCGCAGAACGUGCCGCCAUGACGAUUAACAACCUGCGUUCGUUGUCGUAGCUGUCAAGAGUGUCAGCCAGCGUGGAAUACAUACGACUAGAAUUCAAAGGACGAUCCAAUCGCCCAUGAGAGGUAACUCUAUCAUUGAGAACACCGAGUUUGAAUGCUGUAAAAGAAAAGUGUCGAGAACGAAGAUAUAUCUUUUGACGGUUUGUAUUUCAUAAUCAAUCAGAAGAAAAUGGAAUUAAAACACGUCGUUCAAUCACUUUUAAAAUUCGAUUGGAUUAGAAUAGCUGACGCGGGAAGAUGGAGUGGUAAGUCUUUAGUUUUCUAUGUACAUAUGUAUAUAUUAUCAAUACUUAAAAAAGUCUAUACAAGAUUUCUACCCGUGCAAACAUUGCGUAUUGCAUGGGAAGAAUCAUUGGCCACUUGUGUUCAGCACGGAUCUUAACCUUUUCUCUCCGAAUUGUUGUGCGUUGUCCCGACAUGCGUCAAGUCAUCGACGUCAGCAGAAGCACAAAAAAAAGAAGAAAAGGACGGGUACAAGUCAAGGAAACAAUAAUGAACCAAUUCAGUUUGUAACAGACUCUCAAAAAAGGAAAUGGGUGGAAGAGCCGUCACGCGUUAACGUAAUAGAGGUUAGUUUAAAAGUUGAUCGCGUUGAAAGGGUAGUGAAAAGGAUUGUGUCUACACAUCUACUUGAGCCUAACCGGUAAGGGUUUCACUUUAAUUUCUUAUUUCUCAAAAAACCAAAAAAUCAUUUUUGUUCAUUUUUUUUUUUUACAUAUAGUUUCAUUUUACUAAUUUCAAUCACUAACAAGAGAUGACAAAAUUCUUAUCCACUUGUCACGGAAUUCCUUAUCCAACUAUUUGUUAGGUCACCAACUAUAGUAUCACUAUUGGCUUAAGGAAAACGAUCAAAGAGAAAAGAUUUCGCUUAUUUAUGUACAAAAUGCUUUAGAGUCGAAUUCUCCAAAGUAUUUCACGAUGGCCAUGACAUUAGGCAAGGGAAACGCAUUUCCUCGUUAUUUUGAAACAUUAUUUGAAAAAUAUGGAGGACCUGAUUAACUUAUGUGACACAAUGAAUUUUAGUUUGGAUGGAAAUAGAGGGGGAGUUCUACUCCGGGUCACUGUAAACUCCUCCUCAGCCGAUUUUUAAGGUGUUUCAAUUGAAAAAACUAAAAGAACUACCUUAUUUUCUCUCUUCUUCAAUUUCUUCGUUAGUUGGUAAUUUCAUUUCUUAAAUAGACCAACUAAAAAUAGUAUGCGAUGACAGGCGCUCUUUUGGCAUUCGGUUGGUGUUUCAUUUAGUUGGAACUACAGCGCCAAAAGGGCAACAAUUGGCAAGAGGACGGCGACCAGGGAAGCGGCCAUCUUAGCAGAUGCAGAUCGGACGUGAACAGUGCGUCCAUUCAGUGGCUGUGGCGGUCGAUAGUUGUUGACUAGGUUGUCUCCGUCUUCGCUAAUCAACUGCCGGAAUUCAGCCAACUAAAAUUAUUGAAACGAAGGAAAGAAAAAGGUCAACGGAACUAGUGGGAAAUACGCGUAACAGGAAAGCCGAACCGAAUGACUACCAAUUUCUAAUCGCCUUUCAUUUCGGACGCUGCUCAAUCCGACCUAAACCGGCUUGUUGGUGGCCAAAGGACCUGCCCCAAGACCGUUGGCUUAUAUUUAGAAGAUGAAUAAAGAUGAUAAGUUCGAUUCUACAGCUACAAUCGACGCGAAAAAAAAGUUUCGACCAAUUUCGAGAUCUGGCAUCAACAAAAGUAUUACCCAAUAAAAGAUCCAUUCUUCCGUCCACUCUCAAAAGAACUUGGCAGACUGUACGUUGUUGGAUAACCAACAACAAUUCUUGGCCAAAAGAUCUUGUGCCGUAGUCCACAUUUGAUUGAUUCGCUUCUCGACGGAAACUUAACUAUUAAAACAUUUCUAGAGCAAGCCGAUGAGACGUCAACGGUAGAUUCAGAACUUUUUGGAAACUUGGAAGACGGCCACGCAAUAAAGAAGAAAUUGCUAUGAUUCUAGGCCUUGAGGGGGAGUUACCUUUUAUUACCGCUUCUAUUUUUGCUCGGUCUACUUUUCAAAAAAGCUUAAAGCGGAACUGAGACCACCGCCAUUUUCAUUUCACGUUACACCAAAGAAAAAAUGAUUCACAGCUGCGUUUUCUCUUUUCCAGUACCGAGAAAGAAAAACAAAACAAGUACGCAAUGCUCAAAUAUUUGGUUCUCAUUGUUGUAAAUAGCACUAAAAAAGAAGUAUAAACACGGCUGGGUACACUGUAGAUCUUUUUACAAGCUUCCAUUCGUUGGCACCGUUAUCGAUCAGAUUUCCGAAGCCCGACCUUAUACUACAUAUUCGACUUCUUUUCAAUUACCUUCCCCCAUUUUCCCUUUUUUCUUCUUUUCUUUGGGGGUUUUUCCCUCUUUUAUAACGCUGGAAAGGAACUCCCUUUACUGUCACAAGCGGAAAGCAGUCACGCCCGCGCUCGGCUAAUAGCUAUACUCGAUCUAAAAGAACAUUUAGCGAAACUAGGCAAAAUUCUUAUAGUGCGUUUUACACGUACGUGGAACGUACGCGGAAACAAAAAGCUGAGCUGGCCCGUUUUUUUUUUGUUUUAGGUAUUUCCCGAGAAAAUAAAAAAAAGGAUUGCGGGAGGCAUUCGAUUGUAUCGGAAAUGUGCCCAACGCUGCCAUAUCGACUUUGACGAAAAUACCCAAAGAUAAAAUAAUCAAAACGCAAAAGGGGGAAAGAAAAAUGUAGGAAUGCCAAUCAACUGUGAGCAUUUUCUUUUCAUGCCAUUGCUGGAGGAAAGAAAAGAGGGAAAACGUGAAUUGAAAAGGAAAUAAGAAAACUCUUCGGGCGGUGACGGAAAAUAUUCAAAUUUAUUAUGAAUGUUAAUCAAACCCAUCGCGACAUUUUCUACCCGAAACUCCCUGGUUUUUUCCUAACCGCACACCGACAUACGAGAUCAGAUUAUUCGCGUAAAUUGAAACAUACACGGGAAAAAAAGUCCGACUGCGAUAGAGUAGACGUGCUAGAUACGUUGUAGGCAAUAAUAACUCUAAAACAAAAUAGACAGCGACCUUGCUCAAUGUUCGUCCGGGCCUGGAACGGGAUACGUGCGUGAUUGUCGUUUUUUUUCUUCCCUUUCAUUCGUUCCACGUCCUGAUAAUUCCUUAAAGGCUUCCGUCCUCUGCGCCCGCUACAUAACCCCGCAAGGUUAUUGACAACCGGCAAAUUGCCAAGCGGGGGGGUAUACAAUAAAACGCGUAAUCAAAUGAUCGAUGUUUAUCUAGUAGCCUAAAGAGCUCUAAAUGAGACAGGUACAGAAGUACUGCCUAAACGCAUGUCGGGGAAGGAAUUAAGAAAGAUUGAGCACGUUCUCACGCCGUUUUUAGUGUCCCCGUUAUGCCUCUAUGCUUUAAUUACACGAUCGUAAUCAAGGCCUGCACAAUAACCACCGGCGGCCAUUAAACCCCACAGUCAUUUUCAGAAUUCGGUCAUGGCUAGGUCGGAAAGACUAAAAGACUAUGAUCGAGCUAAUUGGCAAGCUGUCGUAUCUCUUAGAAUUCGAGACGUUCUACAUGGAGGUCAACUUGUGCGUGUCCGUGUACCGUAAUAAACUGUAGAAAAGUUAGAAACUGAGCCCGCUGAUUCGGAAAUACUUCCAAACCGGAACGCAAAAAGUAGGUAAGUUACGGUUCGAAAUCUUGGACGCGUUGUUAUUUUAGUCACGUUGACGAACGAGGGGAAAUGAAAGAGAGAGUUGUGAUAAAAGCCUUUACAGGCGCAUUAAAAGGGGAAUUCCGACAUCUUAUCCGACUAGAGAAUAGUUGAAUCAAUCGACUUACCCGUCACCAUCAAACUCAAGAUGGAGGCGACGACGAAGACGUCUUUAAGUAACGUUGAAUGACGGGAAGACAUCCUGAAAAGUGAGAGAAAUAAAAAAUAUUAAUGUAGACACGAUAAAAGGACACAUCCGCGAUGAAACAGAUAGUUCUUUUCUAUCCAAAUACACAGUAGCUAGGUUUUGACGUUUCGGGGAAGGAAAAAAAAAAAAAAAACUGUUUUUCACAAGAAGGCGCGAGUAGAUCAUAACGAUUGCUAGUCACGACUUGUGCUGUAGACUAUCGAUCGUGAAUGGAAACCAUGUCUCCGGGCAACUCGCAACUAGCGACAGAGCUCCUGGCCUCAACCGACCGACCACAGCAAGAAAUAAAAAAAAAAACUGAUCACAAAAGGCGAAACUUUAAGAAGAUUCAAGAUCUGAAGGGCCAUCACUCCUUGAUGAAACGGCAGGAAAUCGAGAUUGUCACCAACCAAAGUUCUUUUUAAAAACAUAAAAUCUCGAAACGCGGUUGAAGUGAAUUCUUACUUGAAAUUGUAGAACAAAUGAAUGUGGCAACCGCUUUUUAAAAAAAUGUAUAUCUUGCUUGUGUCAACUUAAGAAUCAAAUUACAACUAUCCGUUUACGGACAAGAACGUAAAGUUACUGACAGUCGCCGACGAUGGUAAUAAUUUUAUAAGAAAGCGAAAGUAGAAUACACGUGACGAGGUUCGUGGCCACUUCCUUGAACAGUUCGGCGAUAACGGAACGACGACCUUGCCCCGAAUUUGAAUAACCGAACAUGGACGCUUUUUACCUACGAUAGAAAUUUCUGCAAACUGUUAACGCCGUAGUUGCCAUUCUAAACGAAUUCCCAUUUUUAAAAUGGCCAAGCAAUAAAUAACGCAAAAGAGGAAACGCCGAUUGACCUUUCUCUAACCUUGAUUCGUAUUUGUCGUUACUGGACAACGAGACAAUUCCGGUGUUGGGUGAGAAAUAAAUCCAAUCACUCAAUUUCUUUCAAAAAUAACGUAAGUCAUUAAGAAGGUGAUGGUCCAAUGAGACUCGCGUUGUACACACAAUUGAAAGGCUGUCGAUGAAGGGCAAUAAAAGAAAACAAAUCAACCAUAAAUAGCGUAAGGCCUUUCACUUCCUAGCUCUCAGAAGAGUAAUCACAAUUGACUGGGGGGGGGGACAAAAAAAAAAAGUAAAUACGAAGAAGAAAGAAAAUAGCCCAAUAUUAUGUUUUACUUUGCGUCGGCUAUGCAAUGCCUUUCGCAACUUGCUUUCGGUGACAUUUGACAAACGUCUGAAACAGUAGACGACAUCAGUGUAGUGCCAUAUCAAGACUUGACAUUCGAAUUUUCUUUUGGAGCUAGUGCAACUGAACUCGGUCGACCCAUACAUGGAGCCGACGAUAAUAGGACACACGUGAAGGCAAAUAAAUUUGGAAUGUGUUGUGUCAAACACUACUUACUGGUUGUCUGCGAAUAUGUUCGGCUACCGAAGAAAUACAGGCACAAAGUGGGAAAACCCAAACCGGGAAUUGUACGGGGAAAAAAAAACCCAAAGAGAACUAGCGCAAUUUUGUCUCUUGAAAGACAAAUAUUGGCGGACACACACACACAAUAGGUGAAAAGAGCCGAAGGGAAUUUUUCAGGU